AUACGGAGGGUGCAAGCGUUACUCGGAAUCACUGGGCGUAAAGCGCGCGCAGGCGGCUAUUUAAGUUGGAUGUGAAAGCCUAUGGCUCAACCAUAGAACUGCAUCCAAAACUAUUUAGCUAGAGUGUGGGAGAGGAAGAUGGAAUUAGUUGUGUAGGGGUAAAAUCCGUAGAGAUAACUAGGAAUACCAAAAGCGAAGGCAAUCUUCUGGAACACUACUGACGCUGAGGGACGAAAGCGUGGGGAGCGAACAGGAUUAGAAACCCGGGUAGUCC
Molecule: ribosomal RNA, 274 nt
Filed under: uncultured bacterium
Lineage: Bacteria
Description: partial 16S ribosomal RNA
Rfam family: Bacterial small subunit ribosomal RNA
Source: RNAcentral